This is an RNA transcript of Hypanus sabinus (Atlantic stingray), 9126 nucleotides long. It is a transcript of the gene named transmembrane protein 82, with no coding region annotated. The transcript has 2 exons. The record is from RefSeq and is a predicted model, not a curated record. Lineage: Eukaryota; Metazoa; Chordata; Chondrichthyes; Myliobatiformes; Dasyatidae.
CUGUGGGCUGAGAUGCAUUGGUGUUGACGGUCAGUGAGGAGGUGAUGUAAUUUCAGAUAUUCUCAGGCUGUGGUCUCCCAAUGAGGAAGUCAAGGAGCCUUAGGUACCACCCCACCAGUUUCAGGAACAGGUUACCCUUCAAUCAUCAGGCUCCUCAACCAGCAUGGGUAACUUCAUUCACCUCAACGCUGAACUGAUAUGACAACCUGUAGACUCACUUUCUCAGACUCCGCAUCUCAUGUUCUCAGUAUUAUUUAUUUACUUUUCUAAAGUUGGCACUGUUUGUCUUGAUUGUUUCAGUCUUUAUGUGUAGUUUUUUUAAUUAAUUUUAUUGUAUUCCUCUGUGCUACUGUGAAUGCCCACAAGAAAAUGAAUCUUAAGGUAGUAUACUUUUACUUUGAAACUUAUUUUAAAAUGUUUCAAAACUUUUAAGGUAGGUGCUGAUGGAAAGUCUCACAUGUGAAGUGCUGGUUGUUUCUCUUUCUGCAGAUGCUGUCCGACCAGCUGAGUGUUUCCAGCAUUUCCUGUUUAGUUCUAUUCCAUGAUGUUCUUUUUUGCCAUUUAAUAUACACUCGCUCCUGUGCUUGCACCUUUAGAUUUGCAUCUAACGUUGAGGUAUGCCUGCGAACAUGACCUUGUGUACUCCUCAUUUUACCCCAGGCUGCUAUUCACCUGUGACCUAGCUCCAGGGAAUAGACUGCUUUGCCAUUCAGAGCCCUUCACCAAAAUGACCAUCCUGUAAGGAGAGGCAGCAAUUCCACUAACUGCCUGAAAGUUAUCACCAUCAAAUGCCUGUUAUGCCACUGAAGGUCCUCUAUCUCUCUCUCUGUCCUUGGCCAUGGUUGAGGCUCCUCAUUUCUGCCUCUACGGUACGGCACCAAGUAGUCCCUGGUCUCUUGCAUUUCCUCCGCCCUUUCAGGGUCCAGUGGUGUGCUGUCUUGAUGAUGGAGUUGGCCUCUCGUGCCCCAUCCAUCUCCAAUGUUGUACGUGGCCUUGAGGACACUGAGGAGUAUUGGAGUAUAAAAGUUGCAACUUUGCUAUUUGCUAGAGAAUGAAAUAUUAAGAAUGUAGAAGACAAUGGUGUGUUAAUGAAAGGUAGCUAAGAGAUGUAGAUUAGAACAUGAUUAAGUCAGGAAAUCCUAAGAAUGUAGAAGACAAUGGUGUGUUAAUAAGAGAAAGCUAAGAGAUGUAAAUUAUGUAGUCUGAGUUUGCUAUUUGCUAUGCAUUUACCCAAUUUAGUAGGAGAAUGAAAUCUUAAGAAUGUAGAGACAAUGGUGUGUUAAUGAGAGGUAGCUAAGAGAUGUAGAUUAGAACAUGAUUAAGUCAAUGGGUAGAAACAACAGUGGCUGAUGUACCUGUGAUACGCAACUAUAGACCGAUUAGAUAUGCUAAUAUAACUAAAUCAGGAGAUUGCUAUAAAACAUGCUAUGUCCAAGGAUCGGUGGAUAAUCAGCGACUAGCUUACUGACUGUCUCAGCUUUGAUUUGCAAAUUAAAGUUUAACCCUUCUUGAAGAAUCUUCUGCGUCUCCUGGUUGUUUGUGGGACACAAGAAACCACGACAAAAUUGGCAACCGCGAAAGGACUGGAAAGAGACCCGCGGAAAGGAAACGGCAGAUUGGGGACGCUUCUCAGUCCUCUAGGGACCCCCACAAGGCUAACAGAAUUAAGGGUGCACCCAAACAAAAGGUAAGCGCUUUUUGCGACAAUUUGGACUAAGAAUUCUGUUGGUUUUGGGGAGGUCUUGGAGUCUCAGAAGUGUGGAACCACUGCCAAAGGGUCUCUCCAGUCCAAAGAAUCUGGCAGAAUUGGGGGUUAACAGGAGGCUCAGAGGAUUGAUCAAGAACACUGCAGUGAGGGUCAGUACAAAUAAGCUAAUAAAAAGUUAAGAAAAAUUCCACAUGGUGUUGGUAAGUCCCCUUGGAUACCGCUUCAUAUGAAAUGAAGGUCUGAACGGGCAGAGAAAGGGAAAAUAGAGAACAUCCCUGUGGAUACCGCUUCGUAUGAAGCGAAGGUCUGAAUGGGCAGGGAAAGGGAAAAUAGAGAACAUCCCUGUGGAUACCGCUUCGUAUAAAACGAAGGUCUGAACGGGCAGGGAAAGGCAAAAUAGAGAAAAUCCUCGUGGAUACCGCCUUAAGAGAUAAGGGUCUGAAUAGAUGAGGUGCAAAGAGCAAGUUCUGUGGAUACCGCUUUGAAUAGAGGUCUGUAUGGGCAGAACAGAAUAGGAAACAAGGACAGUCCAAUAUAUAGUUUAAAGCGCUGGUAGAUAGACAUUAUCUAUAGAUAUUAUCCAGUAAAUGAACUAUGAAUCUCUGAAAUACCUUAAAAAGAGAGAAUAACAUGAUAGGUAAAGGAACAGCAGUAGAUAUUCUGAGCAAAAAAUUCCCGAUAAAUAAAUAUGAGAUCACAAAAACUUCAGAAAAAUGGGAAAAAAGAACCAAAAACCUGGUCACAAAGUGGCCAAGAGAAGGAACGUUUGAAGUAAGCUUGUGUGAAGAAAUGGAGGCACUAAUUAAAAAUCACAAACCAAAAGAUAAAUCUAAGAAAAGAGGGCAAAAAAGAGAACGAGAAAUGGAAGUGCUAAAACUCCAGAACGGAGGGAGAAAGGCUGAGGAGGACAGGUAGAAUAUUGAUUACAAGCGAGGAAGACACUAAGGUGCUGGAGAAACAGCCUGUUAGAGAGAGAGAGGAAGGUACAGUGAGAAACUGGCUUCAGCUCCGUACCCGGAUGCGAAAGUAACAGAAAAGCCCCCUCCCUAUAAUGAGGAAGGAACCCCUAAGCAGUGCCCCCUGCUGGCGGGGACAGUAAACAUGCAGGGAGAAGUACAAGUUUGGGAUAAUGAGGAGGAAAGAAGACAAUACGAGAAGGAAAAAGCGGCGAUAUGGAAGGAGAUAUAGGCAGAAAGGAUAAAGGUGGAACAGGCAAAGAGAGAAAUGGAAUAAGGGAUUGAACGGAUGAAAUACUUGAGAGAGGAAAAGGAAUAUGAGGAGUAUCGGUUAUACCAUAGAAAUAAACAGACUAGAAAAGAAAGUGGCUCAUCAGGGCAGGAAGAGAUGAGGCAUUCAAGAGGAAGUGGAAAAAAGAUAGGAGAUGAGAGUCUUGGAGAAACACAAGAGAGAAGGGAAUCAAGCACGAGUGAGGAUCAUGAGGAGUCCCUGCCACUUGUGUACAGACACGGACAGAAAGAAAGAGAAGGUGACUCAUUGGAGGAGCAAGAGUUAAGUGGAGAGAGAGAGGAUGUGAGAAUUUGUGGGGAAGAGGUAGGAGGCAGAAGCCCAGAAGAGCAGAAGGAGGCGGUAAGGGAGCGACUUGCGGAAGUAGAGAGAGAGCCAGAUAAGUUACUGAGAGGGGAUUGCCAGAGGAGAUGCGAAAAAUACUCCAGGGGCCAACCAAGUAUUGAAUCAAGACAGAAAGGAAGGACUCCACAAGGAGACCGAGGGAAAGAAGAGGACCCCGGAGACAUUUGUGUGGGAGGCAGUAAAGACAUACCCUGAGACAGUUGGGGAGUCAGGCGAGGAGGAGAGUCAGGGCAGGUGGGAAGAAGGAGGAAGAAUGAUGCCGUUGUUAGUUAAAGGAUCAGGACAAGUGCAGUAUAUCCCAUGGUGAUUCCAGGACCUAGAAGGGCUGAAAAACACUCUGCCCAAUCUACAUGAAGGAGCAGGGAAAUGGAUUAGAGCCUUUGAAGAAGAAACGGCGGGACGAUUAUUGGCUAUGGGAGAUUUGAAGUCACUAUUGAUAAGGUUGAUGGGAACAUCCAAAUUUAACGAACUAAUGGAAAUGGCUGGCAUAGUAAACUCGAACGACCCGAGAACUGAUGGAGACGGGUUUGACAGAGUGAGGCAGAGGGUAUGGCAGGCCCUCAGGAAGCUUUAUCCACCCAAAGUGGAACCCAAAGCCUUAAAGGGGGAUCCACUGAAAACCCAGCAGCCAACAUAGAAAACCAGUUGACAAGGUGGAGACUGGAGACUGAGCAAGAGGUGGAAAAUAGCUUAUUUAUCACCACACUGUUCCGACAUAGCAUUUUGGAUGCAAUGCCUCCGCAAGUAAAAUCCAAACUGGAGGAAGUGGUUGGGCUAACGUCAAAGACCCCACAAGAAUUUAGAGACCACAUAGUCCAUGCGAUUGAGAAAUACCGGAAAGACAAACGAAGGUUGGCCGAGCAGCAGCAAGACGUGCAGAGAAAGUUUAUACAAAUGUAGCUCAAAGAACUCAAAAAGAAAGAAAAAGAGAAAAGCAAAAAGAUGCUGCCAGCAACCACCGGUCCGAGUACAGCCAUCGAACUGGAUGAAGCGCUGCUAUAUGGAGGGACCGAUCAUACUGUAAGACAAGGGCUGGAAAACCACAUGCCAGUAAUCGUCUUUGGAGGAGCAUUCCCACAAAUGCCCUAUCAGGAACAAACUAAAUUCAAACAGCUCAGACAGGACUGAAAGUCCCAAGGAGGGGGACAGAGGAGCUAUGGGCAGAGGGGACCAAGUGAGGAAAUGGGGAAAGAGAGGUGGAGAGAUUGUGCUGGGGAUGUAAUCAGCCAGGUCUCAUGAGAAGAGAUUGUCCGUUUACACCAUGGCCUGUCACACACCAGCAGGAACCGAUAAGAAGGGAACUAAAGCUUAGCCAAGGACCAGCCCCCAAAGGCCCAAGCGGACCUGUGAACCCCUAUGCGAGGUAUUAGGGGUGCCCCGAGAACUCAAGUGGGAAGGGACAUUACCCAAUGAUAACAAGGGAGGCAGACAAGGAACCCAUUGUUCAGGUUAUGUUAGAAGGGCAACUGACACCAAUGAUGAUAGAUACUGGAACCACGUACACUUGUGUACAGCCACAGUAUGCCCUUCACCUUCCCAUGUCAGGAAAGUUUAUUAAGAUGGUGGUAGGGUUCUUGGGGAAAACACAGUGCACGGCUCCAGUGCGGUUGAGAAUGGGAAAUAAAGGAAUUGUUUUGCUGGUGCUAGUAUUUAAAGGAACUCCGAUUAAUUUGUUAGGCAGAGAUGCCUUAUUGAAACUGGAAUUAAAAUUAGAAUGUACCAGAAAUGGGCUGAGUGUGGAAAGAGCAGGGGCUCAAUUGAUAGUGCGAGAAGACAAGAUAGGAGACAUCACAGAUCAGAUUCAGGAAACCUGGGAAAAAUGGAAAAAGGGCGUGCAGGCUAUAUUACCCAGGGCUGUAAUGCCCAAAUCUGAGCUACAUUGUAGUGAUUUUUGACGAGACUCAGAACAGGGAGUUAGAGGAGAGGUGGCACCUGGAGGCAUGUACCCAACAGCACCUGGAAGGGGAGGCUGUGAUAAUUGGAAAGCAAGGGGCAGCUUUACAAGUUAAGUGGAACACCUUUUUAGAAAAAUGGUACAGGAUACCAGAGGCUGCGCCCCACAUAACGUUGUUGGUAAACAAGGGAUAUCAGUCUAAAGACUUAGGACCCUUAGUUAAAAGUGCUGAAACCAUAACAGUGUGGAGGAAAAUCACGCCAGAGGUGCGGAUAUCAGAAGGCAACAAUUGCAUUAAAAUAAUGGUAAGUGUAGAUAUGGUAGGGACAGUGAGAGAGGUCAAAAUAACUCCCCAACCACACGUACCCUUGCUGGGAAAGGAAAGAGGCCAGCAGAAAGAUAGAAGGUUAGAUGAGUUGCCAUCUAUUCUGUGGUCUCAGCAUGACACGGACAUAGGGAAAAUAAAAACAGCUAGUCCGGUGGAAAUAAGGCUGAAAAGGGGAGCAAUUCCACCCAGGAGACUACAAUACCCUCUAAGACCAGAAGCAGAAGAGGGAAUAGCAUCGACAGUGCAGGGGUUGCUUGAAAUAGGAGUGCUUAAAAGAACAAACAGUCCAUACAAUACCCCGUUGCUGCCGGUCUUAAAAGCAGAUAAAUCUAAGUGGAGAUUGGUGCAUGAUUUGCGAGUGGUAAAUGAUGUGGUCGAGGACUGGCCAGCGGUAGUCCCCAACCCACACACGCUUUUGACUAAUGUUCCACCAGAAGCAAGUUACUUUUCAGUGUUUGAUUUGUGUUCGGCUUUCUUCAGCAUUCCUCCAGCCGACCAGUGUCAGUAUCUGUUUGCAUUUACUUACAGAGGUGCUCAGUAUACCUAUACCCGAAUGCCGCAAGGAUUUAAACAUUCACCACACAUUUUUAAUCAGGUUUUGAAGGCAGACCUAGAGGGCAUACCAUUGAAAAGUGCAUUGUUACAGUAUGUGGAUGACCUGUUGAUUUGCUCCCACAGUAAGGAACAGUGUGAGCAGGACACUAUAACUCUGUUAGAGAAGCUGGCGCACGGAGGACAUAAAGUAUCCAAAAAGAAACCGCAAUUUUGCAAGCAGCAAGUGGAAUACUUAGGCAGGGUAAUAUCCAAGGGAGUGAAGGCGAUAGCACCAGAUCAGAUUGAGACAAUAACUAAGGCCCCAAAGCCCCAGACAGUAGGGCAGAUGAUGAUGUUUUUGGGAAUGGCAGGGUACAGCUCAGAUUGGAUAGGAGAAUAUGCUGAGAUUGUGGCACCUUUGAGAAAGAUAAUGAAAGAAGCAGGACAUACAAAUUUGAAGAACGGCUUACAGUGGAAUGGAGAGGCGGAGAUAGCUUUCAAUACUACUAAGCAGGAAUUGCAGUCAGCACCAGCAUUAGCUUUGCCUGACUAUGAGAAGGUUUUUCAUUUGUAUGUAUCCAACCGACAGGAGGGUUAUGUCACAGUGGUUCUAACACAAGAGACAGGCACAGGAAAAGCAAAGCAGCCGAUAGCAUACUACAGUACGAGACUAGAUGAGGUGGCUCAGGGGUAUCCACCCUGUUAUCAGGGAUUGGCGGCGCUGUACUAUGCAUAUGAAAAGGCAUCAUCUGUAACCCUGGGCUAUCCUGUGACCCUGUACACACACCACAAAGUAGUAGAAUUGCUGGAAAGAGGGAAAUUUGUGCUGAUGCCAGCCAGGAUAGCAGCGUAUCAAAUGCUAUUGACAUUUCCAGACAUAACUAUACAGAGAUGCACUACCAAUAAUAUAGCCGAUUAUGUCCCUUUAGACAAUGAAGGAGAACCCCAUGAUUGUGUAGGGAAGACAAUGGCAUUUGCCAAAUUGAGAGCAGAUUUACAGUCAGAACCACUAGAGGAUGCAGAUAAAAAGGUUCUGUUCAUAGCUGGCUCUUGUUAUAGGGAUUAUGAUGGAAACCAUGCAGGGUUCUCAGUAGUGCAGCAGGAUCAGUCGAGCUAUAAGAUUAUUAGGAUGGAGUCCUGUCCCCAACUGUGUUCCACCCAACUAGCGGAAAUCAAAGCCCUGACAGCUGCGUGUGAAAUGAUGGAAGGUGAGAAAGUAGACAUCUAUACUGAUUCGGCAUAUGCUCAUGGAGUAUGCCAUUUGUUCAGGGCAGUGUGGAAGCAGAGAGGUUUUAAAGUGGAGAUCCCAUACAACAUUGUCAGCAAAUUCUAGACUUAAUAAAAGCCAUAAUGAAACCUGAAGCAUUGGCUAUAGUAAAAUGCCAGGCACAUAAAAAGGGAAAUUAUGUAAUAACAAAGGGAAAUCAAGCUGCAGACGAGGCAGCCAGAAAAGCAUCUGGGUGUACAUCAGCUGUUAUUGCCCCCCCCCCCCCCAGGUAAGCCUAGCUCCAGAACCUGAGGUAGAGGACCUAAUUGAAAUACAAGGUAAGGCAACUUUGGCAGAACAGACAAUGCGAAAAAAAAAAAUGGGGGCCAAGCAGAACCCGGAAGGCUUGUGGAGCACAGAAGACGGUUUGUUGGUAGCGCCCACCCCUCCACUAACGAUUCUGAUUUCAGAAGCGCAUGGGAUUGACCAUUGUGCAAGGAGGAAGUGAUAAAGAAAAUAGAGAAGGAUGGUUUUUGGUCACCUUAUUUACAGGCUUCAGUGGACUUUGUCUUGUCACAGUGCGAGGUAUGUGCACAGAAUAAUGUUCAGAAGGGAAUUACAACCCCAAUAGUUCACAUUCCUGUACCUGAAGGACCAUUUAAACAUUUAGUGAUCGAUUACAUAGACAUGAUAAAGACAGUGAGAGGGAAAAGAUACAUGCUGGUAGUAAUUGAUCGAUUUAGCAGAUGGGUGGAGGCGGUACCUUCAAGAGAUCAAGGGGCAAAAACAGUGGUAAAAUUUCUGACAGAUGAAGUGAUCCCAAGGUUUGGAAUACCUACAGAAGUUAGCUCAGACAAUGGUUCAGCUUUUAUCCAGAAAGUGGUCAAACUGGUACUACAAGCGCUGAGGAUAAAGCAAAGAUUUGGAUGUGUAUACCACCCUCAGUCGCAGGGCAUGGUAGAGAGAAUUAAUGGAACCCUGAAAGCCAAACUAAACAAAAUUUGUGCAGACACUAAACUUAAUUGGGUCAAUGCUUUACCAUUAGCAUUGAUGAGUUACCGCAUGCAAACUAAUCGAAUGACAUGCCUGACACCGCAUGAGAUGCAGGCUGGGAAGCUAUCAAACCUGUGAUAGGGGUAAGCAAAAAUGUUGAAUGGAUAAACUAUAUAUACUACAAUCAACAGAGAUUCAUCAACUACACUGAUGAUGCGCUGGAGGCCUUAGGGCAACAGCUGGAUGCAACUAGCAGGAUGACGUGGCAAAACAGACAGGUAUUGGAUUGGCUUUUGGCAGAAAAAGUGGGUGUGUGUGUGUAAUGUUUGGAGAACAAUGCUGCACUUUCAUACCGACCAAUACUAGCCCAGAAGGGUCUUUCACCAGAGCAAUGAAUAAAUUAAAGAAUCUGCGGACGGAGGUCAAACAGAAUGCAGGAUUUGAACAUCAGUUUUUUGAUCGGUUGGAAAGUAGACUCGGAGGAUGGGGAGCAUGGCUGACUAAAAUAGCAAUAACUGUCAGUAUUAUAUUGUUGAGCUGUGCGCUUGUGCUGUGCUGUUUUCUUCCUUGUCUCAAGUCUCUUGUAGUGCUUGCUGCAACCAAACAAUUUCCGAUGCUCGUGGCAAUUACUGAAGCAAGCUUAGUGGAGAAAGAAACACCGAAAAUGUAUCGUUACAGCCUACAACACCUGCAGGAUGAACAAGAGCAAAACGACAGUGUGGGAGUAGACUUGACCCUGUGCGCGAUGGCACGGCAGCUGCGAAACUGCGCUCGCCACAGCAGGUCCUGCAAACUCUGCACCUCUGCGUCCUGACCGUCCUAUUCUCCCUCGUGGGAUCGAGAGUGGCCUCUCUCACCGUGCUGGAAUUCUC